This 254-nucleotide ribosomal RNA is filed under the name Bacillus licheniformis. Its description in RNAcentral is "partial 23S ribosomal RNA". It matches the Rfam family "Bacterial large subunit ribosomal RNA", at positions 2266 to 2521 of the family's 2925-position model. The record is from RNAcentral. Lineage: Bacteria; Bacillati; Bacillota; Bacilli; Caryophanales; Bacillaceae.
CAGUUUGACUGGGGCGGUCUCCUCCUAAAAGGUAACGGAGGCGCCCAAAGGUUCCCUCAGAAUGGUUGGAAAUCAUUCGCAGAGUGUAAAGGCACAAGGGAGCUUGACUGCGAGACCUACAAGUCGACAGGGACGAAAGUCGGGCUUAGUGAUCCGGUGGUUCCGCAUGGAAGGGCCAUCGCUCAACGGAUAAAGCUACCCCGGGGAUAACAGGCUUAUCUCCCCCAAGAGUCCACAUCGACGGGGAGGUUUGG